GUGUCAUGAAGGACAUUUGUACUCGAAUUCAUGGAGUGCCAUUCCUGAUGGGAGAGGAGGCCCAUGACAGUGACAGUCAUGCUAGUGAUCGCGGACACCACACCAUGCUGCCUUUGCCAGCUGGCUCCUUCAGCGAGUCCUCGCGCCAAGCCUGGGAGGUAGAGAUGCUGAUCGCGUGGACAGCACCACAUUAUUGGGUAAUGCAUGCCAGGACUGUGCAAAGAGGAAGUUAGAAGAGAAUGGAAUUGAAGUUUCCAAAAAACGCACACAAUCAGAUACUGAUGAUGCUGGAGGGUCUUGAAAUCUUUACAGUAAAACCUGCAACUUGAAAACUAGCCUUCUGUAACCACAGUGCCCAAACGAAGAGGAAUGUAUGGAGAACUCCACGUGGAUCUCUGAUUGCGAAACCGUCACAUACACCAAGAGAGCCACAUGGGCAUGUGGCCCUCAAGGCUGGGUGAGAGGGCUCCCCUGUGUGUUGAACUAUGCAGGAGGGUGACGCGGACACAUUUCAGGUGGACUUUGCAAGGACUGAUGGAUAGCUACCUCAGGGACCAGAAUCCGUGGGAAGGGAUGGACCUGGUGUUCCCGUUCCCAUCUGACAGGCUCUCUUUUGUCAAGGUGGUAUUUUUCGUAAUAAAAGGGGAAGAGUAAAGA
This 657-nucleotide small RNA is filed under the name Pan troglodytes (chimpanzee). RNAcentral's name for it is "processed transcript". Lineage: Eukaryota; Metazoa; Chordata; Mammalia; Primates; Hominidae. The record is from RNAcentral.